GGUUUUAACACAGUAUCUCAAGGUACUGUGGGCUUCUGACCUACCGCUUGCGGUUGUGUCAGUAACCUUAAGUUUUGGAUCGCCUUUUCGGGGUAUCCGAGUGGGCAAA
Molecule: small RNA, 109 nt
Filed under: Necator americanus (New World hookworm)
Lineage: Eukaryota; Metazoa; Nematoda; Chromadorea; Rhabditida; Ancylostomatidae
Description: SL2 RNA
Rfam family: SL2 RNA
About the family: This family represents SL2 RNA. SL2 RNA is involved in trans splicing in lower eukaryotes. Trans-splicing is a form of RNA processing.
Source: Rfam by way of RNAcentral